UACAGAGGUCUCAAGCGUUGUUCGGAUUCAUUGGGCGUAAAGGGUGUGUAGGUGGCGCCGUAAGUCGGGUGUGAAAUUUCGGAGCUUAACUCCGAAACUGCAUUCGAUACUGCGGUGCUUGAGGACUGGAGGGGAGACUGGAAUUCAUGGUGUAGCAGUGAAAUGCGUAGAGAUCAUGAGGAAGACCAGUGGCGAAGGCGGGUCUCUGGACAGUUCCUGACGCUGAGACACGAAGGCCAGGGGAGCAAACGGG
This 253-nucleotide ribosomal RNA is filed under the name uncultured bacterium. RNAcentral's name for it is "partial 16S ribosomal RNA". It matches the Rfam family "Bacterial small subunit ribosomal RNA", at positions 524 to 776 of the family's 1533-position model. The record is from RNAcentral.